GACAAUAAAGUGCUGUAGAUGCUUGAAGCCUUCUUUGGUGUUGGUUGUGCUCCACCAUCGUCCCCACAGGAAUCAGAUGGCAAAAAUAUGGCAUACUUUUCAAAGCUGGAGAGCAGUUUUCUUCACUCUGUUGGAGUUUCUGUCCCUCUGGAGGCCCUGGAUGAGUUGGGGAUACCCUGAGUGAGGCUGAAAUCUUCUACUCACAAAACUUUGUGGCCUUGUGAGUGAAAGAAGAAUGAGACAAGCUGGGCAUUUCUAGGCCCCUACAAUGAAUGAAAUCACAGCUAGGCUAUUGGUUGUACAUCUCAUAAUGUGUGGUUUUAUUGGCAGAUGACUGAGAAAUGGAGAAAUUUACUUUUGGUGACUUUUCAUGGUAGCAUGAAUACCAGUAUUGCUACCCCAAGGCAUGUGGUACGAAAAUAAUCACAUUCUUCCACUCUAAAAGGUGCAAAGAAAAAAUGAGUGUAGUAGAUUCUUUUUUUAUCUUGGUAUGCCAAAGGGAAUUGUGUGCAGAUCUCUCUGAAUAGCAGUUGUUCAAGAACACUCUUUGCUACCAGAAGUCCACUGAAAAAUUGCAAAGAGUUGCCCUUUGCACCAUGAAAUCCCCAGGCACCCACUGGGAAAGAAGAUGCUGUAUAAGUCAGGGCAAGGAUCCAAGGAGAGAUCACCCAGACUGCAAAACACUGGGUAGUGAUUAUAUAAAAUCCUGGGAAUUAAUUGUAUAAUAUAAGAUGUUCCACUUUCUGGUGAAACUUGGCUUCUGCAAGUGUAGCGGAAGAAGGUGUAAAUUACCCCAGCAUUUAUUGAUCUACUUGUUUAGGCAGCACUGCUUCUCUCAUGGAUCACCUCCUGGAUCUCUGAUAUGGCUGGGUUCCACUCAGAAUGAAAACAGCUCUAACUCCUCUAACUGUGGCUCUGAGAGGAGCAGAAGUGAAUGACAUUAACUUCAGUGAUAUCUGGACCUGGCACAGGAAGAGCUGCAGGAAAUCCCUGCAAUGCCAGGCUUUAAGAUGCUGGGUAGCACUGGCUGCUGAUCAGCUCAUGAUGAGGCGCAGACUGUACUUGUUAGAGGGAAUAUUUGCUCUUGGCAGAGAGAUUCCCUUGGGAGGCCUUAGUGAAUCAUCCCCUGGGAGACUUCACUGCAGCUACAGGUACAGCUACAGCCCACUGCUCCCAUCUGGGCAGCUGUGUGCCCUGCCCUGCUGCAGGCCAGACAGGGUUCUGUGGCACACACCAGCCCAGCUGCUGGCACAAACAGAAGGAGCAGCUCAGCAGCAGCUGGCAAGGGCAUCCCAGCAGCCCAGACCCAGCCUGCUCCCAGACACUGAGCCCACUGACCCAGAAGGUGUUGUCAUUUCAAGGUUAAGUGCACAAUCUGGAGAUGUUGUGUGGCAGAGCCAUUCCUGUGCUCACAAGGUGUGUGCUUAACACAUAUUUAGCUUUACUAAAUACAUACAACUUUUCUUCAGUAAACAAUGCUGCAUGGAUGCAGUGCUGAAAAUAUUAUUUGUGAUUAAGGAACAAUGGAUAAGUAUUUAACAAUAAACCUCUAUGUGUGUGUGUAGAUGCUGGUGUUGAAUUAUCAGUGAAAACAGUCCUUUAAUAGAUAUUAAGGUAUUUAAUUGACAUCUCAUGUGAUUUCAUACCCUGGUAGCUCCACAAAAGGCAAUGGAGUGGUCUGUGCUACUAGAAUAAAACCAAAACAUUAAACUUAAUUUACUCAUAAAAUCAGGGAAAAACUAACUAGUUCUCUUUGCUCUCUGUAUGUGAAAGCCUUCUGUCUGUCCGGUAAAAACCUACAUAGAUUCUUCCAGGGCAGAAAAACUGGAAUUAAAAUUGGGAAGAAACUAUUGUUGAACAGAAAACUGCCCAUGUUGCAUUUCUGAAUAGAUUUUA
Long non-coding RNA from Zonotrichia leucophrys gambelii, 1896 nucleotides. RefSeq lists it as uncharacterized. The transcript has 3 exons. The record is from RefSeq and is a predicted model, not a curated record. Lineage: Eukaryota; Metazoa; Chordata; Aves; Passeriformes; Passerellidae.